This 253-nucleotide ribosomal RNA is filed under the name uncultured bacterium. Its description in RNAcentral is "partial 16S ribosomal RNA". It matches the Rfam family "Bacterial small subunit ribosomal RNA", at positions 524 to 776 of the family's 1533-position model. The record is from RNAcentral.
UACGGGGGGGGCAAGCGUUGUUCGGAAUUACUGGGCGUAAAGGGCUUGUAGGUGGCCAACUAAGUCAGACGUGAAAUCCCUCAGCUUAACUGGGGAACUGCGUCUGAUACUGGAUGGCUUGGAUUCGGGAGAGGAAUGCGGAAUUCCAGGUGUAGCGGUGAAAUGCGUAGAUAUCUGGAGGAACACCGGUGGCGAAGGCGGCAUUCUGGGGUGCCUGUGACGCUGAGGCGCGAAAGCCAGGGGAUCAAACGGG